Molecule: long non-coding RNA, 362 nt
Filed under: Monodelphis domestica (gray short-tailed opossum)
Lineage: Eukaryota; Metazoa; Chordata; Mammalia; Didelphimorphia; Didelphidae
Description: lncRNA (ENSMODG00000050200.1)
Source: RNAcentral
AAAUAUUAGUUUAUAGAUAUUAAAAAUUUUUUUAAAUAAAGGCAAAGUAACUCAAUACAAGAUCAUCUGAUAGAGGGGAUGAAGAGUAACAUUUGAAGCAGUAAAGGCAGUAUCCAAAUUCCACCUGUGACUUAUCUCACCCUUGUAAAUCACCUGGGUAAAUCACAACCACUUAGUGCCCUGCACAACUCCCUCAGAUGGUAAGUGCCAGAGAAAAUGGAGAUCCAUAUUGUGAUGGCAAGAAGGAUGAGAAGUUCCUUCCUUGGAACAGAAGAUCUGCUUUAGGUUCUACAGACAUAGCUACAUUGCUCAGCACAGGAAACCCUAAAUGGAUCAUGAAGAAUUGCAUAGAAUUGAAAUGA